CAUCUAUCAAUGAAUUGAGAUACAGAAGACCUCAUCAACCAAGUAAUCAACUUAAUUCAAAACAUCAAGUGAAUAAUAAAAUGAAAAAAAAGGAUAUUAAAAAUGAUUUAUAAAUGAUUAAAAAAAGAAAAUAAAAGGAAAAUGUCAAAGAUGUAUCAAAAUACCAAAUAAAAGUCUAAGAAAAAUAGAGGAAGUCAACAAAAUUAUAAGUAACUUGAUCUCAAAA
Molecule: long non-coding RNA, 226 nt
Filed under: Lathyrus oleraceus (garden pea)
Lineage: Eukaryota; Viridiplantae; Streptophyta; Magnoliopsida; Fabales; Fabaceae
Description: Pisum sativum (pea) long non-coding RNA (PSAT_LNC003174)
Source: RNAcentral